AACGAACGCUGGCGGCAUGCCUAACACAUGCAAGUCGAACGAGACCUUCGGGUCUAGUGGCGCACGGGUGCGUAACGCGUGGGAACCUGCCCUUAGGUUCGGAAUAACUCCCCGAAAGGGGUGCUAGUACCGGAUAAUGUCUUCGGACCAAAGAUUUAUCGCCUUUGGAUGGGCCCGCGUUGGAUUAGCUAGUUGGUAGGGUAAAAGCCUACCAAGGCGACGAUCCAUAGCUGGUCUGAGAGGAUGAUCAGCCACACUGGGACUGAGACACGGCCCAGACUCCUACGGGAGGCAGCAGUGGGGAAUAUUGGACAAUGGGCGAAAGCCUGAUCCAGCAAUACCGCGUGAGUGAUGAAGGCCUUAGGGUUGUAAAGCUCUUUUACCCGGGAUGAUAAUGACAGUACCGGGAGAAUAAGCUCCGGCUAACUCCGUG
Molecule: ribosomal RNA, 433 nt
Filed under: uncultured bacterium
Lineage: Bacteria
Description: partial 16S ribosomal RNA
Rfam family: Bacterial small subunit ribosomal RNA
Source: RNAcentral